ACCCCACUCAACCUGCGUGAAUACCCGCUGAACUUAAGCAUAUCAAUAAGCGGAGGAAAAGAAACCAACAGGGAUUGCCCUAGUAACGGCGAGUGAAGCGGCAACAGCUCAAAUUUGAAAUCUGGCCCCCGGGUCCGAGUUGUAA
This 145-nucleotide non-coding RNA is filed under the name Neonectria ditissima. RNAcentral's name for it is "Eukaryotic large subunit ribosomal RNA". It matches the Rfam family "Eukaryotic large subunit ribosomal RNA", at positions 1 to 148 of the family's 3401-position model. The record is from Rfam by way of RNAcentral. Lineage: Eukaryota; Fungi; Ascomycota; Sordariomycetes; Hypocreales; Nectriaceae.